GAGGUCAGCCAGAACUGCAGAGUGAGACCGUGUUGUUUGUUUGUUUGUUUGUUUGUUUGAGACGGGGUUUCUCUGUGUAGCCCUGGCUAUCCUA
Molecule: microRNA precursor, 94 nt
Filed under: Mus caroli (Ryukyu mouse)
Lineage: Eukaryota; Metazoa; Chordata; Mammalia; Rodentia; Muridae
Description: microRNA 1954 (MGP_CAROLIEiJ_G0007705.1)
Source: RNAcentral